UAUGCCGAUGGAACCGUGCUGGAGCCUGUCCGGAUGAUCACCACCAAGGACAAGGACGGGAAGGAAGAAACGUCGCUGAACCCACUUCACUCGAUCUGGGUUAGGGAGGAUCAGCAGGUACUUGGAUACUUGCUUAACAAUCUGUCAAAAGAAGUGCUUGUGCAGGUCACUUCAAUCUCCCAUGCCUACGAGCUAUGGUCUGCGUUGGCGAACAUGUUCUCCUCGCAGUCUGUGGCCCGCGUCAACAACGUGCGCAUAGCACUGGCCAACGCGCGGAAGGGGCAGCAGACAGUCAUGGCGUACUUCGCGCACAUGCGCGCACUAGCGGACGAGCUUGCCGCCGCCGGCAAACCCCUGCAAGAUGACGAGCUGGGCUCGUACAUCCUCGCCGGGCUGGAUAUGGAGUACAAGCCCCUGGUGUCUGCUCUUGACGCCAGAACCGUCCCC
RNAcentral lists this ribosomal RNA (447 nucleotides) under Triticum aestivum (bread wheat). RNAcentral describes it as "partial small subunit ribosomal RNA". Lineage: Eukaryota; Viridiplantae; Streptophyta; Magnoliopsida; Poales; Poaceae. The record is from RNAcentral.